CAUUUAUACAAGCAUUAAGUAAAAACCACCUCCACUUUGACCUAUCUUAUAAUGGUUAUUCUUAUGGAGGAGCCUUGGUUUAUUAUUUCCUUUCUUUAAAUCAUGGAUUACUAACCCGCAAGUUUAAUUAUCCCUAGAUAAAACAAUUGUUUCUCUCACUGAAUGUUCUCUACUUGAAAAAGGCCUCAGGCUGGACACUCCACAUUGAAAACCAAGUAAGCCAGGGAUGUAGCUCAGUGGUUCCACCGCCUGCCUCGCAAGCACAAGGGUCCAAGUUUGAUCCCUGGUACCAAAAAAAAUAAAUAAAUAAAAAGAAAAAGAAAGAAAACCAAAUAAGUACCCAGCAUCUGUUGAACGUGGGCUAUAAGUGUCCCUGCUAAAUUCUAUGUAAAUAUAAUUUCUAUAAACUCCAUUAUCUAUAAGAACAUGCUGUGAAAACUUUAUAUUUGUAGGAACUCUUGAGGAAAAUUUCAACUACGUGUUUUCGUUAUGUAAAUAGCCAGUUGCUAAUUGUUCUAUUUUUGAAGUUUUCUUAAAUCAGGGCACACCUGUAAACAUUGUAAAACUGAUCUCAGAAUCACCAGAAAAUGAAAGAAUACCAAAGACAAAACGAUCAGAGAAGCAACGUCUAGACCACAAGAAACCAAAGGCGCACACAGGCGAGUUCUUCACCAGGACUGAGGACGUGGAGCCCAAGGACACAGAGGCCCAGUGAUAUAACUAUGCUUCCUGGUGUGUACGAAGUGGUGCCCAUGCGGUUGAUUCUAUUUGUGAGUUACAGGUGUCUAACUGUCUUUUUCUGUUGACUCAUCAUUGCCUCUUUAUCCCAC
RNAcentral lists this long non-coding RNA (830 nucleotides) under Fukomys damarensis (Damara mole-rat). Its description in RNAcentral is "lncRNA (ENSFDAG00000029266.1)". The record is from RNAcentral. Lineage: Eukaryota; Metazoa; Chordata; Mammalia; Rodentia; Bathyergidae.